AGGGGGGCUGCUCCUAGUACGAGAGGACCGGGCUCCUAGUACGAGAGGACCGGAGUGGACGCAUCACUGGUGUUCGGGUUGUCAUGCCAAUGGCACUGCCCGGUAGCUAAAUGCGGAAGAGAUAAGUGCUGAAAGCAUCUAAGCACGAAACUUGCCCCGAGAUGAGUUCUCCCUGAGACCUUGAGUCUCCUGAAGGAACGUUAAAGACUAUGACGUUGAUAGGUCGGGUGUGUAAGCGCAGCGAUGCGUUGAGCUAACCGAUACUAAUGAACCGUGAGGCUUAACCUU
RNAcentral lists this ribosomal RNA (288 nucleotides) under Enterobacter hormaechei. RNAcentral describes it as "partial 23S ribosomal RNA". It matches the Rfam family "Bacterial large subunit ribosomal RNA", at positions 2644 to 2925 of the family's 2925-position model. Lineage: Bacteria; Pseudomonadati; Pseudomonadota; Gammaproteobacteria; Enterobacterales; Enterobacteriaceae. The record is from RNAcentral.